RNAcentral lists this unclassified non-coding RNA (306 nucleotides) under plant metagenome. RNAcentral's name for it is "partial contains 5.8S ribosomal RNA, internal transcribed spacer 2, and large subunit ribosomal RNA". The stretch from base 1 to 105 matches the Rfam family "5.8S ribosomal RNA", at positions 50 to 154 of the family's 154-position model. The record is from RNAcentral.
GAAAUGCGAUAAGUAAUGUGAAUUGCAGAAUUCAGUGAAUCAUCGAAUCUUUGAACGCACAUUGCGCCCGCCAGUAUUCUGGCGGGCAUGGCUGUCCGAGCGUCAUUUCAACCAUCAAGCCCCCGGGCUUGUGUUGGGGACCUGCGGCUGCCCGCAGGCCCUGAAAACCAGUGGCGGGCUCGCUGUCACACCGAGCGUAGUAGCAAUCACCUCGCUCAGGGCGUGCUGCGGGUUCCGGCCGUUAAACAGCCUUACAAAACCCAAGGUUGACCUCGGAUCAGGUAGGAAGACCCGCUGAACUUAAGC